AGCGAACGCUGGCGGCAGGCUUAACACAUGCAAGUCGAGCGGGCGUAGCAAUACGUCAGCGGCAGACGGGUGAGUAACGCGUGGGAACGUACCUUUUGGUUCGGAACAACACAGGGAAACUUGUGCUAAUACCGGAUAAGCCCUUACGGGGAAAGAUUUAUCGCCGAAAGAUCGGCCCGCGUCUGAUUAGCUAGUUGGUGAGGUAACGGCUCACCAAGGCGACGAUCAGUAGCUGGUCUGAGAGGAUGAUCAGCCACAUUGGGACUGAGACACGGCCCAAACUCCUACGGGAGGCAGCAGUGGGGAAUAUUGGACAAUGGGGGCAACCCUGAUCCAGCCAUGCCGCGUGAGUGAUGAAGGCCCUAGGGUUGUAAAGCUCUUUUGUGCGGGAAGAUAAUGACAGUACCGCAAGAAUAAGCCCCGGCUAACUUCGUG
This 435-nucleotide ribosomal RNA is filed under the name uncultured bacterium. RNAcentral's name for it is "partial 16S ribosomal RNA". It matches the Rfam family "Bacterial small subunit ribosomal RNA", at positions 29 to 507 of the family's 1533-position model. The record is from RNAcentral.